AGCUCCAAUAGCGUAUAUUAAAGUUGUUGCAUUUAAAAAGCUCGUAGUUGGAUUUGUGGUGUGUCCAGUCGGCCUUUGCUCUUUGAGUGAUUGAGCUGUACUGGUCUGCCAUGUUUGGGUGGAAUCUGUGUGGCAUUAAGUUAUCGUGCAGGGGAUACCCAUCAUUUACUGUGAAAAAAUUAGAGUGUUCAAAGCAGGCUUAUGCCUCUGAAUAUAUUAGCAUGGAAUAAUGAUAUAGGACCUUAGUACUAUUUUGUUGGUUUGCGCACUGAGGUAAUGAUUAAGAGGGACAGUUGGGGGUAUUUGUAUUCCAUUGUCAGAGGUGAAAUGCUUGGAUUUUUGGAAGACAAACUACUGCGAAAGCAUUUUCUAAGGAUGUUUUCA
RNAcentral lists this ribosomal RNA (384 nucleotides) under uncultured eukaryote. Its description in RNAcentral is "SSU rRNA". It matches the Rfam family "Eukaryotic small subunit ribosomal RNA", at positions 587 to 972 of the family's 1831-position model. The record is from RNAcentral.